UACGGAGGGUGCAAGCGUUAUCCGGAUUCACUGGGUUUAAAGGGUGCGUAGGUGGUUCCGUAAGUCAGUGGUGAAAUCUCCGAGCUUAACUUGGAAACUGCCAUUGAUACUAUAGGUCUUGAAUUAUCUGGAGGUGAGCGGAAUAUGUCAUGUAGCGGUGAAAUGCUUAGAUAUGACAUAGAACACCAAUUGCGAAGGCAGCUCACUACGGAUAUAUUGACACUGAGGCACGAAAGCGUGGGGAUCAAACAGG
RNAcentral lists this ribosomal RNA (253 nucleotides) under uncultured bacterium. Its description in RNAcentral is "partial 16S ribosomal RNA". It matches the Rfam family "Bacterial small subunit ribosomal RNA", at positions 524 to 776 of the family's 1533-position model. The record is from RNAcentral.